Molecule: ribosomal RNA, 695 nt
Filed under: uncultured bacterium
Lineage: Bacteria
Description: bacterial SSU rRNA
Rfam family: Bacterial small subunit ribosomal RNA
Source: RNAcentral
AGUGGCGGACGGGUGAGUAACACGUAAGAAUUUGCCUUUAGGAGAGGGAUAACAACUGGAAACGGUUGCUAAUACCUCAUAUGCUUUCGAGUGAAAUGGUUUUUCCGCCUAAAGAGAAGCUUGCGGCUGAUUAGCUUGUUGGUGAGGUAAUAGCUCACCAAGGCGACGAUCAGUAUCUGGUUUGAGAGGACGAUCAGACACACUGGAACUGAGACACGGUCCAGACUCCUACGGGAGGCAGCAGUAGGGAAUUUUCCGCAAUGGGCGAAAGCCUGACGGAGCAAUACCGCGUGAGGGAUGACGGCCUAUGGGUUGUAAACCUCUUUUUUCAGGGAGGAAUAAAUGACGUGUACCUGAAGAAUAAGCAUCGGCUAACUCCGUGCCAGCAGCCGCGGUAAGACGGAGGAUGCAAGUGUUAUCCGGAAUCACUGGGCGUAAAGCGUCUGUAGGUGGUCAAAUAAGUCAACUGUUAAAUCUUGAGGCUCAACCUCAAAACCGCAGUCGAAACUAUUAGACUAGAGUAUAGUAGGGGUAAAGGGAAUUUCCAGUGGAGCGGUGAAAUGCGUAGAUAUUGGAAGGAACACCGAUGGCGAAGGCACUUUACUGGGCUAUUACUAACACUCAGAGACGAAAGCUAGGGUAGCAAAUGGGAUUAGAUACCCCAGUAGUCCUAGCUGUAAACCAUGGAUACUAGA